UGCUGCAAAACCCUUGUCAGGAACAGCACUAAGUUCACACCAACUCCGAAGAACGCUAGAGUUGCAAGACCUUGAUUCACUGUAUUAUAUUGUGAGAAGCAAAUCAGGGUUGAAUUAAAUUUGAUGUUAAGUAUAAGUUCUUCAUUUUGUGGUGAAUUCAUGAAAGUGAAUUCCCCGAAUAAGGGUGAUUUUCCCUAGGGGUUGGCUUUUCUCAUCACAUUGUUGUCUAUCGAAAAAGCUGAAAGUGCUUUGAGAUGUGAAAAGGCAAGUUAGGCAGACCCAGACUUCAAUUCAGACCCACAGUAUUCUAUUCCAUAGUUAUCUAUGAGGACUAGGAUUCAAAUUUCUCAAGGGUGAGUUUUUGUCAUUGUCUCAAAUGGACUUUCUCUACAAAUCAUUGAAAGUAAUAGUCUACUGACUGCAUGCUAGGUAGCUUGUUAUGUACUCUCUCUACAGAAAGUCCCGUAAAAGUGUCCGAUAGGUGUAAAGUAAAAGAGCACGUCCAUUGUGAAUUUCACUACUGGAUGGCUCUUGGACCCUUGGAUUAAGGAAAAUGCCUUUCCUCUUCGAUAUUUUCCACCUAAAGAAGUCGUGUUUCUUUAAUCUCUUUAUCAACCAGCGUGCAAGAGAUUUUUCUUCGAUGAUAUAGGGGGAAUGUAAAGCUACAUGCUUCAAGUUUUCUUCCUUUCAUCACUUCUAGAAGGAUAUUUGUGACGUCAGUAUUUCAUAUGAGCUUUAAGUUCAAACAAUUCAGCCAUGGAUCCUAGUUUCUGUACUUGAAAAAAAGAAAAAAUAAAGGGAAAAAAUUCCUGAUUUUGCUAUCCCUCUACUGGCUUCUCAUAAAAAAAGUGCACAACUUUUUUUACUAUUUCUUUAAUACGAUAUAUUUUGAAGUCCUUAUCUGUAAUAUUUUCAAAAGUGACUGGUAGAGAGGGGGGAAACAAACAAAGGAGAAAUAGAAAAAGGUUGUGGAUGAGGACACUCCAUACGGAUCGGACAUAAUUCAUCUAGGUAAUUGAAACAACACGUGGAAUAUCCACGUCAUGCCAUGUCAAAAAUAGUUGAUGAGUACGUGUCAGACACGUCUCAGGUUAAUGCAUGUCUCUCUCCCUCAGCGAGUGAAUGAGGUAAGAUAGCAUAGUUCUUAAGAAAUCUCUCUUUCUUUCUCUCACUAUUUACGGGUUCUCGUCUCUCUCUCGCUCUCUCUCUCUCUCUCUCUCGUCGUCCAGUCCCAUGGAGUCUUUGAGGCAACAUAACAAAGUCCUUAAGAAAUAUCUUUCUCAUCAUUUAUAGGUGGAGGAGAGAGUAGCAUGCAAGGAGGCUACAACACUUGGCUCAUUGUAUAGUGCCAAAUGUAAAGCAACAAGGCCAUUCCUAUUUCUUUCUCAUUUUCUCAUCCUUUUCUGUAUCAAGAAAAUCAGGUGAGAAGCUCUUUCACAUCUCUAGUAUGUACUCCCACUUAUCUUUUUCAAAUCCAAACAAAAACUUAACAAACAUUUCUCUCCCCUCUAACGUACUCACCCACACCAACCAAAACUUCUCGAUUUUUCUAAAACCACUUCCCACAUAUAACCUUGUAGACUUAUAUGCUAUUUCCCCUGCACCUUCUUCUUCUUCUUCUCUCUCAUAAGCUAAUAAAAAAAAAACAAGUCAGAAAUAGAAUCUUGGUUUUGAAGUGCUCAAUGUGGAAAAUUUACUACAAAAGUUUCUACUCCAAGAAGAAUGAAAUAACAAAUAACUAAGCUGACUGAAUCUUACGAAUUUGCUAGCAGCAACAUUUGAUAAUUUGCCCCGGAAAAAGAAAAAAAGAACUAAGUUGAUUGAGACUAGGUCACUUUUUAUUUGUGUGAGAGAGAAACAGUUUAAAAGAGAGAUGAUUUGGGGCCUUACAGAGUAUAAUGAUUCCAGCAACCCAUCCUCCAGAUUUUGAUCUGAUAGCAGGUUGGCCAUGCCAAUCAAUAGUCCCAUCAAGAGUACAAACUUCUCUCUCUUCUUUUGUCUCCCCACCCUGCAAAUUCUGAUCCCAAAAAACAAAAUACACUGUCAAAUGUGCUUCUUCAUCUUCUUCCAUCAUCUUCUUCCAUCAUCUUCUUCUUCUUCAUAUUUAAAACUCAAAAGAAAGAUAUAUAGGAAAAAGAAGUUUAUUUCAUUUGGUACAAACCUCAUUGCAAAUCUCCAAGCAAUUAGCCAUUGAUGAAUAUGAUGUUUGAAGUGUUUAGGAUAGAGAGCAAAGCAGAGAGAUGGGGGGAAGUUGGUGAAGUAAUGCUGAUGAUAGUUGCAGAAGAAAGACACAAGUCUUGAGACUCUAAACAAAAUCGGAAGUGUGUAUAAAUAGAGAAGGGAAGAAUGAGUUGAACGGUAGGGAUUUAGAGAGAGAAAUGUGGGGUCACCCCAAAUUGUCCAAAACUCUUUUUUUCCUCCUCAUUUUUUUCUUUUUACAGUAUUCAUCACACUCUUUGGGAUGUAGGAUAUGGACUUUAAAUUUAAUUCUAUUUCUUUGGCCUCUUAAGGUUUUCAAAAUAAACCAACAAAUAGUAAAGUGAUUUGUGUUUGUAUCUGAAAUGUUAAAAGUUAGGCUUCUUUGCUUUUACAAGUUAAUUAUUUUCUGAUAAUUUGUAGUAAAUCAAUAAGUGGUUCUCUUUAUUUUGUCCUUAAAUGGUUUUUUUUUUUUUAAUUUUGUUAAAAAGAGAGAUAUGAUGACAUAGAUUCUUUUGAUUAGUCUUGUUUUUAAUUAAUGAGGUUCUUGUAAUAUCCACUUUGCCUCACUUAGUGCAUAUAUUUUUGACAUCGACACCAUAGAGAAAUUUAAGUCAUUAUUAUUAUUUGUUGAGUUGGCUGCCAUGUGCCACGUUUUCAUUAGCCAUACUCAUUUAACAUUUUUCAUUUCUUUUUCUACACAUCUAAUUGUUUGUAACAUUUACUUUUUAGCUAUGUUGGCUGCAGUCACUUAUAAUUGCUUAGGAUAGAUGAUCAAGUCUCUCAAAAGCUAGCUUAGGAUAGAUAUGAUCAACCUUCUUAAUACCUACAAGCUUGCAAUUGUUUGAAGUUGAAGAGAACACAUGGUCCAAAGACAUCUUGUAGGAUCAACUCGUGAUUACUUCUUUCAAAUUUAUGGUCACAAAUGUAGUAUGCUUAAUGUACUAGAAGUUCUAGAAAUUUUGAUGAACCUCUUCAAAUCUUAUCCUUUAGAAGUUGGAUGAAAGGAAUCGUAACUGACAUGAUCUUUUUUUAGAGGAUGGAAAUUCGACUCGUUGUCCUAUACUCAAAAAAAAAAAAAAAAAAAACUUGAAAUUGAGCUCAUCCCAAACUUAAGUUAUAAACUGAAUAUUUUUUGUCCUAUUUUGCAUUGUACAAUGUUUGAUUAUUCUUUAGGGUAUGUUUCAUUUUGUUCUCAAUUGAGUUAUGAGCUACUUUAGAAGUUCCUUUCACGUUAAGCCCAUGUUUUGGCAAUAAUUUAUGGGAAGUUUUAUCCCAAAAAGAAAAAAAACAAACUCUCAAAUUUUGUAUUUAUUCAUUUGUGUUGAUGAUGUCAAAUUUUUGUAUCUCUUUCAUGUGCUAGACUGUGUUUUCUAUUGUACAACAAUUUAAAUUGGAUCCUCCAUGUUGAAUAACUUAAAAA
This is a long non-coding RNA of Cucumis sativus (cucumber), 3619 nucleotides long. RefSeq lists it as uncharacterized. The record is from RefSeq and is a predicted model, not a curated record. The transcript has 2 exons. NCBI's taxonomy places the organism in Eukaryota, Viridiplantae, Streptophyta, Magnoliopsida, Cucurbitales, Cucurbitaceae.